CGGGGGGGGCAAGCGUUGUUCGGAAUUACUGGGCGUAAAGGGCUCGUAGGCGGCCAACUAAGUCAGACGUGAAAUCCCCAGGCUCAACCUGGGAACUGCGUCUGAUACUGGAUGGCUUGAAUCCGGGAGAGGGAUGCAGAAUUCCAGGUGUAGCGGUGAAAUGCGUAGAUAUCUGGAGGAAUACCGGUGGCGAAGGCGGCAUCCUGGACCGGCAUUGACGCUGAGGAGCGAAAGCCAGGGGAGCAAACGGGAUUAGAUACCCCGGUAGUCCUGGCCCUAGACGAUGAAUGCUUGGUGUAACGGGCAUCGAUCCCUGUUGUACCGAAGCUAACGCAUUAAGCAUUCCGCCUGGGGAUACGGUCGCAAGGCUG
This 371-nucleotide ribosomal RNA is filed under the name uncultured organism. RNAcentral's name for it is "bacterial SSU rRNA". It matches the Rfam family "Bacterial small subunit ribosomal RNA", at positions 526 to 896 of the family's 1533-position model. The record is from RNAcentral.